CACCUACGGGACGCAGCAGUAGGGAAUCUUCGGCAAUGGGGGCAACCCUGACCGAGCAACGCCGCGUGAGUGAAGAAGGUUUUCGGAUCGUAAAGCUCUGUUGUAAGAGAAGAACGUGUGAGAGAGUGGAAAGUUCACACAGUGACGGUAACUUACCAGAAAGGGACGGCUAACUACGUGCCAGCAGCCGCGGUAAUACGUAGGUCCCGAGCGUUAUCCGGAUUUAUUGGGCGUAAAGCGAGCGCAGGCGGGUGGGUAAAGCUGGA
RNAcentral lists this ribosomal RNA (266 nucleotides) under uncultured bacterium. RNAcentral describes it as "partial 16S ribosomal RNA". It matches the Rfam family "Bacterial small subunit ribosomal RNA", at positions 335 to 593 of the family's 1533-position model. The record is from RNAcentral.